UUCAUAUGGCAGACAGUCUUGGCCUUUCCAAAAAAUUGGCGCCCUUCAAGGAUAUAACAAGAAACACUAUUGUGUACUGAGGUCCAGUAAGAACAAGACUGAGCAUACUGCAUACACAAACAUGGGAAGCAGCAGAGAUGGAAAUUUAAUGAAUGAUGAUCAAGAUCAGCACGCAAUUCAGACUCAGAACUAGAUUACUACAAUGCAACAACUCAGGUCCACGUUGAAGGAUGCGCAAGGAAAAAAUGCGCACCUUGUUCGCUGUGGGGAACAGCUCGGCUCACGCGGUGGCCCUACGCCCCAGGCUCAGAUGGUGGCCUCCACGACCACCCGCAGCCGCCGGAGGCCACCCAGCAUGAGCG
Molecule: long non-coding RNA, 362 nt
Filed under: Hordeum vulgare
Lineage: Eukaryota; Viridiplantae; Streptophyta; Magnoliopsida; Poales; Poaceae
Description: long non-coding RNA (HVUL_LNC007783)
Source: RNAcentral